AGAGUUUGAUCCUGGCUCAGGAUGAACGCUGGCGGCGUGCUUAACACAUGCAAGUCGAACGAGCCUUCGGGCUAGUGGCGGACGGGUGAGUAACGCGUGGGAAUCUGCCCUCAGGAGGGGGAUAACGGCCGGAAACGGCCGCUAAUACCCCAUAUGCCGAGAGGUGAAACGAGUUUUCGCCUGAGGAUGAGCCCGCGUCUGAUUAGCUAGUUGGUGUGGUAAUGGCGCACCAAGGCUUCGAUCAGUAGCUGGUCUGAGAGGAUGAUCAGCCACACUGGGACUGAGACACGGCCCAGACUCCUACGGGAGGCAGCAGUGGGGAAUUUUCCGCAAUGGGCGCAAGCCUGACGGAGCAACGCCGCGUGAGGGACGAAGGCCUCUGGGCUGUAAACCUCUUUUCUCAAGGAAGAAGACAUGACGGUACUUGAGGAAUAAGCCACGGCUAAUUCCGUGCCAGCAGCCGCGGUAAUACGGGAGUGGCAAGCGUUAUCCGGAAUUAUUGGGCGUAAAGCGUCCGCAGGCGGCCCAGCAAGUCUGUUGUUAAAAAGUGGAGCUCAACUCCAUCCAGGCAAUGGAAACUGCUGGGCUAGAGUGUGGUAGGGGCAGAGGGAAUUCCCGGUGUAGCGGUGAAAUGCGUAGAUAUCGGGAAGAACACCAGUGGCGAAGGCGCUCUGCUGGGCCAUAACUGACGCUCAUGGACGAAAGCCAGGGGAGCGAAAGGGAUUAGAUACCCCUGUAGUCCUGGCCGUAAACGAUGAACACUAGGUGUCGGGGGAAUCGACCCCCUCGGUGUCGUAGCCAACGCGUUAAGUGUUCCACCUGGGGAGUACGCACGCAAGUGUGAAACUCAAAGGAAUUGACGGGGGCCCGCACAAGCGGUGGAGUAUGUGGUUUAAUUCGAUGCAACGCGAAGAACCUUACCAGGGUUUGACAUCCUGCGAAUCCCUUGGAAACUUGGGAGUGCCUUCGGGAGCGCAGUGACAGGUGGUGCAUGGCUGUCGUCAGCUCGUGUCGUGAGAUGUUGGGUUAAGUCCCGCAACGAGCGCAACCCACGUCUUUAGUUGCCAGCAUUUAGUUGGGCACUCUAGAGAGACCGCCGGUGAUAAACCGGAGGAAGGUGUGGAUGACGUCAAGUCAUCAUGCCCCUUACAUCCUGGGCUACACACGUACUACAAUGCUACGGACAAAGGGCAGCAAACUCGCGAGAGCUAGCAAAUCCCAUAAACCGUGGCUCAGUUCAGAUCGUAGGCUGCAACUCGCCUACGUGAAGGAGGAAUCGCUAGUAAUCGCAGGUCAGCAUACUGCGGUGAAUACGUUCCCGGGCCUUGUACACACCGCCCGUCACACCAUGGAAGUUGGCCAUGCCCGAAGUCGUUACUCCAACCCGUAAGGGAGGAGGACGCCGAAGGUGGGGCUGAUGACUGGGGUGAAGUCGUAACAAGGUA
This 1445-nucleotide ribosomal RNA is filed under the name metagenome. RNAcentral's name for it is "bacterial SSU rRNA". It matches the Rfam family "Bacterial small subunit ribosomal RNA". The record is from RNAcentral.